This is a non-coding RNA of Equus caballus (horse), 280 nucleotides long. Lineage: Eukaryota; Metazoa; Chordata; Mammalia; Perissodactyla; Equidae. The record is from RefSeq and is a predicted model, not a curated record.
GGGAGGACCCGGAUGUCAUCAGAGGACGACCACUUGUGCAGGAAGGAGCCUGGUGCCCGAGGAGUAGUGAAGAUGUUGGUCUCAUCGUGGGACAGGCGGCGGGACAGAGGGACCUGGGGAGAGGAAUAAGUAGACCCAGAGGCCAGGGCUCCGGAAUGGGGCGUCGGGAUGGAGAACAGAAACUGGAGAAAAGUAGUGAGGGGAUACCCAGAAGAGGAGGUGCAUUCCCUGGACCCGUACCUGGAUGUCUUGGCCGACUCGGAGCCAUCCAGCGAGGACC